Molecule: ribosomal RNA, 402 nt
Filed under: uncultured prokaryote
Description: bacterial SSU rRNA
Rfam family: Bacterial small subunit ribosomal RNA
Source: RNAcentral
UAGGGAAUAUUAGAAAUGGACGAAAGUCUGAUCUAGCAACACCGCGUGUGCGAAGAAGGCCUUCGGGUUGUAAAGCACUUUUUGGAAGGAUUAGGAAGGAAUGUACUUCCAGAAUAAGUCUCGGCUAACUACGUGCCAGCAGCCGCGGUAACACGUAGGAGGCAGACGUUAUCCGGAUUUACUGGGCGUAAAGCGCGUGUAGGUGGUUCUGUAAGUAGGGCGUGAAAGCUCCUGGCUCAACUGGGAGAGGCCGUUCUAAACUGCAGAGCUAGAGGAUGGUAGAGGGAGGUGGAAUUCCGGGUGUAGCGGUGGAAUGCGCAGAUAUCCGGAGGAACACCAGUGGCGAAAGCGGCCUCCUGGACCAUUCCUGACGCUAAGACGCGAAAGCUAGGGUAGCAAACG